AGCUUUAUAGUCAAUAUAUGAUUUUAGAUUGCAAGUCUUAAGUAGUGAUUAAUUCACUAAAGCUU
RNAcentral lists this transfer RNA (65 nucleotides) under Aneurus similis. Its description in RNAcentral is "tRNA-Cys". Lineage: Eukaryota; Metazoa; Arthropoda; Insecta; Hemiptera; Aradidae. The record is from RNAcentral.